AUGCAGUCGAACGGGAAUCUUCGGAUUCUAGUGGCGGACGGGUGAGUAACGCGUAAGAAUCUAACUUCAGGACGGGGACAACAGUUGGAAACGACUGCUAAUACCCGAUGUGCCGCAAGGUGAAAACUAAUUGGCCUGAAGAAGAGCUUGCGUCUGAUUAGCUAGUUGGUGGGGUAAGAGCCUACCAAGGCGACGAUCAGUAGCUGGUCUGAGAGGAUGAGCAGCCACACUGGGACUGAGACACGGCCCAGACUCCUACGGGAGGCAGCAGUGGGGAAUUUUCCGCAAUGGGCGAAAGCCCGACGGAGCAACGCCGCGUGAGGGAGGAAGGUCUUUGGAUUGUAAACCUCUUUUCUCAAGGAAGAAGUUCUGACGGUACUUGAGGAAUCAGCCUCGGCUAACUCCGUGCCAGCAGCCGCGGUAAUACGGGGGAGGCAAGCGUUAUCCGGAAUUAUUGGGCGUAAAGCGUCCGCAGGUGGUCAGCCAAGUCUGCCGUCAAGUCAGGUUGCUUAACGACCUAAAGGCGGUGGAAACUGGCAGACUAGAGAGCAGUAGGGGUAGCAGGAAUUCCCAGUGUAGCGGUGAAAUGCGUAGAGAUUGGGAAGAACAUCGGUGGCGAAAGCGUGCUACUGGGCUGUAUCUGACACUCAGGGACGGAAGCUAGGGGAGCGAAAGGGAUUAGAUACCCCUGUAGUCCUAG
This 700-nucleotide ribosomal RNA is filed under the name uncultured bacterium. RNAcentral describes it as "bacterial SSU rRNA". It matches the Rfam family "Bacterial small subunit ribosomal RNA", at positions 55 to 799 of the family's 1533-position model. The record is from RNAcentral.